GACGAACGCUGGCGGCGUGCCUAACACAUGCAAGUCGAACGAGAUCCAUGGGAGCUUGCUCCCGGAAGAUCUAGUGGCGAACGGGUGAGUAACACGUGAGAAACCUGCCCUGGAGUGGGGAAUAACUCGGGGAAACUCGAGCUAAUACCGCAUACCCUCGGAUGGUCGCAUGGCCGACUGAGGAAAGAUUUAUCGCUCUAGGAGGGUCUCGCGGCCUAUCAGCUAGUUGGUGGGGUAACGGCCUACCAAGGCAACGACGGGUAGCUGGUUUGAGAGAACGAUCAGCCACACUGGGACUGAGACACGGCCCAGACUCCUACGGAGGCAGCAGUGGGGAAUCUUGCGCAAUGGGCGAAAGCCUGACGCAGCAACGCCGCGUGCGGGAUGACGGCCUC
This 395-nucleotide ribosomal RNA is filed under the name uncultured bacterium. RNAcentral's name for it is "bacterial SSU rRNA". It matches the Rfam family "Bacterial small subunit ribosomal RNA", at positions 28 to 418 of the family's 1533-position model. The record is from RNAcentral.